CCGAGUUUACAACUCCCAACCCCUGUGAACAUACCUCAGUUGCUUCGGCGGCCGCGCCCCGGGCCUCGGCCCGGAACCAGGCGCCCGCCGGAGGCCCAGGAAACUCUGCUUUGCCCUGAAUCUCUGAAACGACAAACUAAAUCAGUUA
This 148-nucleotide unclassified non-coding RNA is filed under the name uncultured Nectria. RNAcentral's name for it is "sequence contains ITS1". The record is from RNAcentral. Lineage: Eukaryota; Fungi; Ascomycota; Sordariomycetes; Hypocreales; Nectriaceae.